RNAcentral lists this long non-coding RNA (6896 nucleotides) under Trifolium pratense (red clover). RNAcentral describes it as "long non-coding RNA (TPRA_LNC009905)". The record is from RNAcentral. Lineage: Eukaryota; Viridiplantae; Streptophyta; Magnoliopsida; Fabales; Fabaceae.
ACAAAGUCGAGUUUCACAUAAGCUAGGUUGGUUGGUUGGUUGGAUUCGCCAGCGGAAUUACUUACUGAGCCAAGGUCUACUCGCAGAUUGGACCGGGGCACCCAAACCAAAUAAAGCUUCGCGGACCAAAUCAACGACACACCCUAAAGCAGGAUUUUACCCUGCAGGUAAUCGGCUUACACCUUUACCCCGGGGUGUUCAAUAAGGUUCUAGGUCUCUUGAAACCCUAAUUCUCUGUCUAUAAAAGCCUAACUCAUGGUAUAUCACAUCUAAACCCUACAUCUCACAUUUGGCGCCUACUGACUUGAUCGUCGGAGUGUAAUAUCCUAUUGACAGUGUUGUUUGUGGAACAAGUGAAACAAUUGAACCCACAAAAGACAAGUGAUUAUCAACAAGAGGCAUUUCAUUAUGAAUCAAUAAAGUGGUAAUUAAUUAUGAUUAUAAAUUGAUGUUAAAAUUAUUUUGGUUGUAUUAUUAGGGUAUAUAGUUGGAGGGAAUCAUGAAACAGAGACGAAGAAGGUUCGUUCAAUCGGUAAAAUAAAAAAGAAAAGAAAAUGAAAUGAAAGAGUGUGACCUCGGCUUCAGAAGCUCUCUGAUAGAAAGGCUUUAAGGUGAGUUCCAAAUCGUUAACUGCUACAGAUUCCACCAUUCUUCUCUUCUCUUCUCUCAAACACCACCAACUAACUCACUCACUUUUACGCCGUUCCUCUUCUUACUCUAUACAAAGUUUUCACUUUUUGCAUAUUACAAAGAAAAAAAUCGAUUUCUUAAGGGCAUGUUUGUUUCAACUUUAAGAAAAUAAUUUUUCUUUUUAUUUUUAAAAAUUGAUUUUCUAAAACUGGAUUUCGAAAUAUUAUAAGUUUUCUUAUAUUCGUUUAUUUUUUUAAAUUGAAACACUAAUUUUGACGUCAUAUAACAUAAACACACAUUAUUGAAGAUCAAAACAUAGUCAAAAUCACAACUUUUUCAAAAGGCUGUAUUUCAAAAAUGAUUUUUAUGAAAAUCUAUUUAAAAUAGCUUCAAAAUUAAGUGAUUUUUCGAAAUUUUGAUAUCAAAAAAAGUUUCAAUAAAAUGAUCAAAUACCUAAAAUCACAUUUUAAUAAUAACUAUUCAAACCAAAUUUUCAUUUGAAGCUUUUAUAAAAAAUUUCUUUGUAAAUUUGUUUACACAAAAUUAUGUAACACUAUAAAAAUCUAUUUUAAAAAAAUCUAUAACAAACAGGCCCUAAAGCUGAAAUAAACAGACCCGUUAUUUAGUAUAAAAAAUAAUUUUUUUUUAUAAAAUAUAACAAGCCGAUUCUUCUUCUAACAAACGAGUGUAGUUCAAUUGAUAAUUAGACACUGGACCUGUUUUUUAAGCUUUAAAAAAAAACAAAUUUUUUAAAAAAAAAUUAAAGAUUUUUUUGUAGAGAUUUUGAAGAAAAUCUAAAGUUAUUUUCCAUUUGUUUAGAAUCAUAAAAAUCAAUUUUCUUAGAAAAUGGUUUAAAAAAAAAAUAGAUUUUGAAGAAAAAAAUGAUUUUGUUUUAACUAAAAUGAUUUUUAAAAAAAUCUGAAACAAAUACAAGUAAAAUAAAAAAAUGAUUUUUUUUGAAAAAAAUAGAUUUUUUUACUACUUUGAAGUAAUUAUAGUGUGUGUUAUAAUGUAUUAGAAAAUUAUAAUGCCUAAUAUAAGAAAUAUGUGAGAAAAACAAAAAUCUCAAUUGUAAUGUCUAUAAACAUUGAUAAACAUCGAUUCAAAUUCUCAUCACAUCUUUGAGAAUUCAAGCUUAACUUACACUCUUUUGGUUAACAUUUAAAUCUUACAAGACAAAGUCGUUGUGCCAUCAUACUAGUUUAUGCUUUUAAGAGUUGUUACGAUAUAUUAUGUAGAAACUCGGGAAGAUAUGAGAAUUCAAGCUUAACUUAUACUCUUUUGAUUAACAUUUAAAUCUUACGAGACAAAGUUGUUGUGCCAUCAUACUAGUUUAUGCUUAUAAGAGUUGUUACGAUAUACUCCCUCCGUCCAUUAAUAUAAGCCCCCAUUGAGGUUUUUUACGCAUAUCAAGAAAAGUUGGUAGUGUAAUAAAUGUGCACUUUUUGGGUAUUACAAUUACUAAAUUAUCCUUGGUGAAAAGAUGUAUUUGUAGUUGACUUUUCGGAUUUCAAUGUAAAGUAGGGUUAUAUUUGGAAAAGUAAUAAUAAAUGUGUCUAGGGAAUUGAAAAGGGACUUAUAUUUAGGGACAAAUUUUAUCUUUAAAAUGAUACUUUUAUAAUUAGGGACGGAGUAUUAUUAUCCAAACUUAGCAAGGUAAAAUAAGACCAAAAAAAGGGAAGAUAAAUUUGGGAAGAGAGAGAAAAAAAAUUCUUAAAAGAUAUGUUCAAAAAGAAACAUCGAAUAUAAGGUCAAGUCUAGACAAAACCUGAAUAUAAAGAUAAACUAGUAUAAAUUAUCCGUGGAUCAAUCUGAAGAAAUUUGUAAUUUUUUAAUUAUUUGUAAUUUUUUUGUUUUUGAAAACUUGGUAUUUCGGCCUAUGACCGACUAAUUCAAGGGGAUCAAUCUCACCGCCCACUUGCAGGGGCCCAUUUAAAAGCCAAAGUUUUUUUUUCUCAAUAUGGACUUAGCCCACCGAAAUUGGCACCAGGAAUCGAACCCGAGACCUUGAGAGGAACAUACUCCAAGGACACAAGCCAACAUCACUAGACCAACCCCAAGUGGGUUUUUAUUAUUAUAUGUAAAAUUAAUUUUGUAUUCAAUGUAAUAAUUUAUUUAAAUAUGAAAAAUGAUACAAAUUUUAGAAAUUUUAAAGAGGAAUGGUGGAAUGGGAGAGUGAUACUCCACUCUUUGUUCCCAACCCACAUGUUAUUUUAUCAACAUAAAAAAAUUGAAUAAUUAAAUUCUGUAUUAUUUUGUUGAUGAAGGUCAACAUACUUUAUAUUUUUUUUUGUUAAUAUAUGUAAAUAAAGAUGUAUUUAUUAUUUUAUAAAUUCAUUUUCUUUUAGUACAAGAAUACAAAGAUAUGGAAAAGAGAGAAAAUAAAAUUGUUAAAAGAUAUGUUAAAAAGAUAUGGAAAAGAGAGAAAAUAAAAUUGUUAAAAGAUAUGUUAAAAAGAUAUGGAAGAGAGAGAAAAUAAAAUUGUUAAAGAUAUGUUAAAAAGAAACGUUGAAAAUAAAGAUAGAUUUAAAAUUUGACCUAAACACAUGUGCCGUGAUUACAAACCUAUAAAUAUCACUUUUCACUCACCUCACCCUUCAACGCCUUUCAAAUUCUCCACCUUUCUUCUUUCUCUAAGCUCGUUGAUUUCAUCACUACUACACUCCAUCCACCAUCGAUCAUGAGGAAGAAAAUAACUCCAUCUUCUACUUUUGAUAAUCCAUGGUCUCGUUAUUAUCAUGAUGAUAAUCAGCAUACAAAAAUUAACCAUUCAACAAAUUUACAAGUUUCAACAAGAAUGUACAAUUGUGAUUUGUGUGGCAAAAGCUUCAGCUCCGGCAAUGCACUCGGUGGCCACAAAUCAUCUCACAACAAGAAACAAAAGACACAUCAUGAUGCAAUCAAUAAUAAGGGCACCGCCAUCAACUCAUAACAACAACAAGAUCAAUUUCUAUAAUAAGUCAGGUUUGCAAGAAAGUUUUUCCAUCCAACAAGGGUUUACAUGGGUCGACACAUGAGAUUGCAUAAAAUCAAGAAGAUUAACUUUUAUACUUAGGGCAUAAAUUUGUUUGUAUUGAAGGGAAUUAUUAUUCCCUAAAAGUUGGUACAUAUUGAUGGGUUCAAGAACCUUUCAUCUUUAGUGAUGUUAUUAUUAUUUUCUGUUAAAUUGUUGUGUCUUACCUUUUUAUUUGGAGAAUAUCGAUCUCUAGUUUACUUUUAUUUGGUUCAGUGUUGCAUAUUACACUUAAAAUCAAUUAGAUUAUACAGAUGGAAAGUUUCAAUGUUUUACUACUAGUGCAAAUAAAAGAUAGAUUUGUUUUUUUCGUAAAAAAGAUCAUGACAUAAUGAUACUAGAUUAAUUCUCUUAUUAUUAUUAUUAUUAUUAUUAUUAUUAUUAUUAUUAUUAUUAUUAUCCAACUUUCCUUUCUAAGUGCUUUUGAAUUUUUGCCCUACAAUUUUUAUAUAUUUCUGGUUGCAGAAGUUAAGAUAAACGAAUUUCAUAAAAGUGAACCUAUACCUAAUUCAUUGAUAAAACAGAAGAUAUGGUUAAGUUAUUGGUGUAAAAGAACAAGAAACAAACAAAUAUAAGUAAUUCAUAGUUGCCUUGCUUCCACAACACACUGGUAUAAUGUGCCUGUAACAGCGAUGGAUUAUAUGCCGCAGAAAGACUAGAUUAUGCAGAAAGAAUAUGGGUCUAGUUUACUGCAUAAUGCAGUCCAUGGACUGUUUUGUGUCCCUUUGGAAUUAUGCAUAAUAAUAAUAUAAACAUAGUGUGAUUUUACAUAACUUAUAAAAAGUCAUCGAUUCAAUCCUUCGUGAUAUAUGACAACAAGAAAAUUGUGUUUUUGAAAGGCAGCUAUUUUUUUACGGCUUUGAAGUAAUUAGAGUGUCUAUGAUGAUGUAUGAGGAAAUUCUAAUGUCUAUUAUAAGUAAUGUAUGAGAAAAACAAAAAUCUCAAUUGUAAUGUUGUAAAACCAGUAAGAUAGAGUACACAUUAACCAAAAAAAGAAACAUAGAAAAGAGCAACAGCCUAUUUCAGCGCAUAAGUUCAAGAAUCCUGCAAUUUCAAGCUUUCCAGCUGCUCCCGCGCUGUAACCUAUGGUCAAGAAAUGAAAUAACAACAAUUUAGCUUUGAGUCACAUUCCAUAGAACAGCAUUUCUUUAAAUAAGUUCAACCAUUCAACUAGCCUAAACACAAAUGUGAUAAACAAAUACAAUGAAGAAUAAUGAACAUAAAUAUCAAUUCAAUUCUAAUCACAUUUUUGAGAAUUCAAGCUUAACUUGCACUCUUUUGGUUAACAUUUAAAUCUUUGUGCCAUCAUACUAUUUUUUUUUGGCUUUCACCACCAGUUUAAUCUGGUUCGGGGGUCAGUUCUGGCAUCAAGUGGUUCCAGCCCCCUCCCGAUCGUAGUUGCGGGGGUUCGAACCGUGGUCCUCCCUACCAAGUUCAACGCCAAUCACCACUGAACCAACUAAAGAUUGGUUUUGUGCCAUCAUACUAUAUUAUGCUUAUAAGAGUUAUUCAACCUUAGCAGGGUAAAUUUCGUAAAAUCAUUCAUUAUAAGAUUGAAUGCUGUCUAAAAUUUCUACAUGUCCCUUAAUUAUAUGAUUUCUUCUACAAAAUUAAGGUUAACAGAUUAAUGCCUAUUUUGGAUUUAAAGUAACAAAUGAAGGUGAACCUUAGGUUUCAACAAAAGUGUACCCAAAACAGUUCCCUCGUCUUAUUUGAACAUCUACAGAAUUCAUCCAAGUUACUGUAUGGCCAUAAAUUUCUAAAUCCAUCUUCCGGAGACUCCUAUUCCAAUAACACAUACUUACUAUGCAAGCAUUAACAAAUUAAUCGAUAUAUAUAUUUUAAGAAUUAAAAGAAAAACAAGCGAUACUUACUUGCUCUAACUUCAGCUCAGCAUUCUUAAGUGAUCGCAGAAGAUGAAUUAUACGGUAUUGAAGUUUUUCAUUUUCUGUAGCAAGCAUCUGAGCCUGAAAAUCAAAUCAUUGGUAAGAGGAUACAACCCAAUACACAUUACAAAAAAUUAAAUGUAUAUAACUUUGUAAAUGAGUAUAACCUUUUCUUUUUCUGAUUUUAACUCAGAGUUCGCUACUUCUAGCUUUGACUGAAGAUCAUUAACCUUUUGUAACUGUUCCUCAUUCUCAGUAUCUAAGAUAGAGCAAAUGUAAUUCAGUUUCAUAAUAUUAGGAACCGACUUGAACCUGAAAACACUUUUUUUGCUUUGUGUUGUGUACUUAGCACCUACCUUUUCUACUAUGGAUAGCAGCUUCAAGUCUUGAUAUGCGAUCCUAAAAUAUACAGUGGUAAGGUAAGAAUAAUUCAGUAAUUUACUUAUAGAAAAAGCCUUAGAAAAAUAAAAAAAUAGAACGAUAUAGUGAAGUAACUCAGUUUUUGGGGCAAGAGGAAACAAGAUCAGAUGGACAUAGGCCACAAGACAAGAGUCAUUUGAUUUUCAACUUAAUGAUGAUAUGAUUAAUAUCAAUGUCACUACUCGCUAUAUCAUAUAGAGUUUGAAGUUUUUCCAAUUCGAACAAGGAAAUGUCAUUUAAAUCUUUGUUUUUUAUUGCAAGGGAAUAUAGUGAAAACUAUCAUCCAUAUUAUCGGCACAAUAUAUAAGCAAAUUUGUGGAAACAGAACGUCUAUUUAAGGGACAAUUCUUGGUUUCUGUAAUUUUACACUGAUGUGUUGUUCCACCACUAAGUAUAACCUAGAGUCACACAAAGUUAAGUUUCACAUAAGCUAGGUUGGUUGGUUGGAUUCACCGGCAGAAUUACUUACUAGGCCAAGGUCCACUCGCAGAUUGGACCGGGUCACCCAAACAAAGUAAAGCAUCUCGGACCAAAUCAAGGACACGCCCUAAAGCACACCUGAUCGUAUCCGUUCAGGACACAUGUACCGCAGGAUUUUACCCUGCAGGUAAUCCACUUACACCUUUCCCCCGGGGUGUUCAAGAAGGUUCUAGGUCUCUUGAAACCCUAAUUCUCUGUCUAUAAAAGACUAACUCAUGGUAUAGGUCAGUAUGUCAUAUCUAAACCCUACAUCUCACAUUUGGAGCCUACUGACUUGAUCGUCGGAGUGUAAGUAUAAGGUUUACCGUUCAACCACCGGAAACAGCUUUACUAUCCAUACAUAUGAUCUCAUGUCCGGAGAGGAUGACUUACUAAAUAUAAUACCCUAUUGAUAGUGUUGUUUGUGGAACAAGUGAAACAAUUGAACCCCAUAUAAGACUAGUGAUUAUCAACAAGAGUCAUUCAUU